Molecule: unclassified non-coding RNA, 378 nt
Filed under: Hevea brasiliensis (rubber tree)
Lineage: Eukaryota; Viridiplantae; Streptophyta; Magnoliopsida; Malpighiales; Euphorbiaceae
Source: RNAcentral
UGGUUUUUCAUUACAGGAAAAUUCGCUAGGAAGAAAAAGAAAGUUUCAAAACUGAAAUUUAUCAUAGUCAAUAAUCCCUCGAUCAAAACAUCACAAUACUGUAAAUCGUCAAUCCAAUUCUCCUACCAUGGCCGCCCAAUCCUCCGCCGCGGCCACCACCAACAUCAUGCUUGCAGUCUACGAGAAGAAAACGACCUCCCUCGACCUCUACCGUCCACUUCGCAACUACAUCUGCAUGGUCUACUCCGAGCGCGAGGCCCAGAACCUUGAUGACGACCUCCAAACACUUAAGCAGUAUCGCUCCGACCUUGAACGCCAAUCCGACCCUUCCCCCCCCUCCCGCCGUGACCUCCUUCAGAAUUACUUCAAAGCCCUUUG